This 75-nucleotide transfer RNA is filed under the name Desulfuromonas sp. RNAcentral describes it as "tRNA-Val". It matches the Rfam family "tRNA". Rfam says of the family: Transfer RNA (tRNA) molecules are approximately 80 nucleotides in length. Their secondary structure includes four short double-helical elements and three loops (D, anti-codon, and T loops). Further hydrogen bonds mediate the characteristic L-shaped molecular structure. tRNAs have two regions of fundamental functional importance: the anti-codon, which is responsible for specific mRNA codon recognition, and the 3' end, to which the tRNAs corresponding amino acid is attached (by aminoacyl-tRNA synthetases). tRNAs cope with the degeneracy of the genetic code in two manners: having more than one tRNA (with a specific anti-codon) for a particular amino acid; and 'wobble' base-pairing, i.e. permitting non-standard base-pairing at the 3rd anti-codon position. Lineage: Bacteria; Pseudomonadati; Thermodesulfobacteriota; Desulfuromonadia; Desulfuromonadales; Desulfuromonadaceae. The record is from RNAcentral. RNAcentral also lists the same sequence under 13 other names.
GGGCGUUUAGCUCAGCGGGAGAGCACUGCCUUCACACGGCAGGGGUCACUGGUUCAAUCCCAGUAACGCCCACCA